UACGUAGGGUGCGAGCGUUGUCCGGAAUUAUUGGGCGUAAAGAGCUCGUAGGCGGCCUGUCGCGUCGGUUGUGAAAGCCCGGGGCUUAACCCCGGGUCUGCAGUCGAUACGGGCAGGCUAGAGUUCGGUAGGGGAGAUCGGAAUUCCUGGUGUAGCGGUGAAAUGCGCAGAUAUCAGGAGGAACACCGGUGGCGAAGGCGGAUCUCUGGGCCGAUACUGACGCUGAGGAGCGAAAGCGUGGGGAGCGAACAGG
RNAcentral lists this ribosomal RNA (253 nucleotides) under uncultured bacterium. RNAcentral's name for it is "partial 16S ribosomal RNA". It matches the Rfam family "Bacterial small subunit ribosomal RNA", at positions 524 to 776 of the family's 1533-position model. The record is from RNAcentral. RNAcentral also lists the same sequence under 1 other name.